RNAcentral lists this ribosomal RNA (380 nucleotides) under uncultured eukaryote. RNAcentral describes it as "partial 18S ribosomal RNA". It matches the Rfam family "Eukaryotic small subunit ribosomal RNA", at positions 592 to 976 of the family's 1831-position model. The record is from RNAcentral.
CAAUAGCGUAUAUUAAAGUUGUUGCGGUUAAAAAGCUCGUAGUUGGAUUUCUGCCGAGGACGACCGGUCCGCCCUCUGGGUGAGUAUCUGGCUCGGCCUGGGCAUCUUCUUGGAGAACGUAGCUGCACUUGACUGUGUGGUGCGGUAUCCAGGGCUUUUACUUUGAGGAAAUUAGAGUGUUUCAAGCAGGCUUACGCCUUGAAUACAUUAGCAUGGAAUAAUAAGAUAGGACCUCGGUUCUAUUUUGUUGGUUUCUAGAGCUGAGGUAAUGAUUAAUAGGGAUAGUUGGGGGCAUUCGUAUUUAACUGUCAGAGGUGAAAUUCUUGGAUUUGUUAAAGACGGACUACUGCGAAANCANNNGCCAAGGAUGUUUUCAUNGA